GAGUUUGAUCGUGGCUCAGGACGAACGCUGGCGGCGUGCUUAACACAUGCAAGUCACGGGGGCCCGCAAGGGUAACCGGCGAACGGGUGCGUAACACGUGAGCAAGCUUCCGAUUUGUGGGGGAUAGCCGGCCUAACGGCCGGGUAAUACCGCAUACGUUCACUGGACGGCAUCGUCUGGUGAGGAAACCUCCGGGGCAAAUCGAGGCGCUCGCGGCCUAUCAGCUAGUUGGCGGGGUAACGGCCCACCAAGGCGACGACGGGUAGCUGGUCUGAGAGGAUGGCCAGCCACAUUGGGACUGCGACACGGCCCAGACUCCUACGGGAGGCAGCAGUGGGGAAUAUUGCGCAAUGGACGAAAGUCUGACGCAGCGACGCCGCGUGUGGGAUGAAGCUCUUCGGGGGUGUAAACCACUGUUGCCCGGGACGAAAUGCCCUUUCGAGGGAAUUGACGGUACCGGGUGAGGAAGCACCGGCUAACUCUGUGCCAGCAGCCGCCGUAAC
Molecule: ribosomal RNA, 503 nt
Filed under: uncultured Gemmatimonadota bacterium
Lineage: Bacteria; Pseudomonadati; Gemmatimonadota
Description: bacterial SSU rRNA
Rfam family: Bacterial small subunit ribosomal RNA
Source: RNAcentral